RNAcentral lists this ribosomal RNA (820 nucleotides) under uncultured eukaryote. RNAcentral's name for it is "SSU rRNA". It matches the Rfam family "Eukaryotic small subunit ribosomal RNA", at positions 629 to 1426 of the family's 1831-position model. The record is from RNAcentral.
CGGUGUUUAACUGGCGUGAUGUGGGACGUCCUACCGGUGGGCUUAGCCUCGCGAGGGGCGGCCCAACUAAUAUCCCGUCGCGGUGCUCUUUACUGAGUGUCGAGUCGGGCCGGUACGUUUACUUUGAACAAAUUAGAGUGCUUAAAGCAGGCUAUCCUCGCCUGAAUACUGCGUGCAUGGAAUAAUGGAAUAGGACCUCGGUUCUAUUUUGUUGGUUUUCGGAACCCCGAGGUAAUGAUUAAUAGGGACAGAUGGGGGCAUUCGUAUUGCGACGUUAGAGGUGAAAUUCUUGGAUCGUCGCAAGACGGACAGAAGCGAAAGCAUUUGCCAAAAAUGUUUUCAUUAAUCAAGAACGAAAGUUAGAGGUUCGAAGGCGAUCAGAUACCGCCCUAGUUCUAACCAUAAACGAUGCCAGCUAGCGAUCCGCCGAAGUUCCUCCGAUGACUCGGCGGGCAGCUUCCGGGAAACCAAAGCUUUUGGGUUCCGGGGGAAGUAUGGUUGCAAAGCUGAAACUUAAAGGAAUUGACGGAAGGGCACCACCAGGAGUGGAGCCUGCGGCUUAAUUUGACUCAACACGGGAAACCUCACCAGGCCCAGACACCGGAAGGAUUGACAGAUUGAUAGCUCUUUCUUGAUUCGGUGGGUGGUGGUGCAUGGGCCGUUCUUAGUUGGUGGAGCGAUUUGUCUGGUUAAUUCCGAUAACGAACGAGACUCUAGCCUGCUAAAUAGGCGUACCUUAUGGUAUCGCGAAGGCCCCCGGCUUCGGCCGGUGGGUUUUUACUACCAACGUACAAACAAAUCUUCUUAGAGGGACAGGCGG